RNAcentral lists this ribosomal RNA (253 nucleotides) under uncultured bacterium. RNAcentral describes it as "partial 16S ribosomal RNA". It matches the Rfam family "Bacterial small subunit ribosomal RNA", at positions 524 to 776 of the family's 1533-position model. The record is from RNAcentral.
UACAGAGGGUGCAAGCGUUAAUCGGAAUUACUGGGCGUAAAGCGUGCGCAGGCGGUUUUGUAAGACAGGCGUGAAAUCCCCGGGCUUAACCUGGGAAUGGCGCUUGUGACUGCAAAGCUGGAGUGCGGCAGAGGGGGGUGGAAUUCCGCGUGUAGCAGUGAAAUGCGUAGAUAUGCGGAGGAACACCAAUGGCGAAGGCAAUCCCCUGGGCCUGUACUGACGCUCAUGCACGAAAGCGUGGGGAGCAAACAGG